AAAUGUAUGGUGGUGAUGGAUAACAAGUGGAGCUAAUUAUAGGUAAUUAGUAGCCUAAAAACCUAUAUUUGCAAAGGAAAUCUCUAAUCUUCCAACUAAUAUAAUCCAACCCUCUAUCUUUCAUUAUUAGCACAUGUAUCCCAAAUCUAAACUUAUAUCCAACUUACAUAUCCAAAAAUUAUGGAUCGUAAAUUAAUUUAAUCAUUUGGUCAAUUGAAGUCCUAACAAAAUAAUCGACCACAUUCAAUUUCAUACUUGACUUAAGGUUCGACUAAUUAAUAAUCACUUCGUGUAAACACAACAUUUAACACCUCAUGCUUGUAGUCAUUAGCUACCUCUAACAUUAACUACUACAAAGGUGGUGUUCCAUUUUCAUAUGGCCAAAAAAUAGUAUUGAAAGUUAAAUCGCCAUCUUAAAGAAAUUUAAACUAGCAUAAAUUUUCGGAGUAUUACAU
Molecule: long non-coding RNA, 455 nt
Filed under: Olea europaea (common olive)
Lineage: Eukaryota; Viridiplantae; Streptophyta; Magnoliopsida; Lamiales; Oleaceae
Description: long non-coding RNA (OEUR_LNC008985)
Source: RNAcentral